GACGAACGCUGGCGGCGUGCUUAACACAUGCAAGUCGUGCGGUAAGGCCCUUUCGGGGGUACACGAGCGGCGAACGGGUGAGUAACACGUGAGCAACCUGCCCCUCACUUUGGGAUAACUGCCGGAAACGGUGGCUAAUUCCUGCUAUGACUUCCUCACGCAUGUGGGGUGGUGGAAAGCCUUCGGGUGGGGGGGGAUGGGCUCGCGGUCUAUCAGCUUGUUGGUGGGGUGUUGGCCUACCAAGGCUUAGACGGGUAGCCGGCCUGAGAGGGUGACCGGCCACACUGGGACUGAGACACGGCCCAGACUCCUACGGGAGGCAGCAGUGGGGAAUAUUGGACAAUGGGCGGAAGCCUGAUCCAGCAACGCCGCGUGAGGGAUGACGGCCUUCGGGUUGUAAACCUCUUUCGCCUGCGACGAAGCGAGAGUGACGGUAGCAGGUAAAGAAGCACCGGCCAACUACGUG
Molecule: ribosomal RNA, 466 nt
Filed under: uncultured bacterium
Lineage: Bacteria
Description: partial 16S ribosomal RNA
Rfam family: Bacterial small subunit ribosomal RNA
Source: RNAcentral